GCCCUCUAGUUUCCUUCCCCAGUAGAACUAACACUGGUCUGAAUGGUUACAGAAGGAGGGAAAAUAACAUUGAAACUGAUGUCAAUGCUUUUGUAGCACCUGGACCAGUUAAGC
RNAcentral lists this small nucleolar RNA (114 nucleotides) under Echinops telfairi (small Madagascar hedgehog). Its description in RNAcentral is "Small nucleolar RNA SNORA61 (ENSETEG00000025083.1)". The record is from RNAcentral. Lineage: Eukaryota; Metazoa; Chordata; Mammalia; Afrosoricida; Tenrecidae.